Myiozetetes cayanensis is the source of this 345-nucleotide long non-coding RNA. RefSeq lists it as uncharacterized. The record is from RefSeq and is a predicted model, not a curated record. Lineage: Eukaryota; Metazoa; Chordata; Aves; Passeriformes; Tyrannidae. The transcript has 3 exons.
GGGGGCGGGGACAGCAGGAGGCGGGGCCAGAGCUGCCCCUGUCAUUGUGGGGGUCCCUGGCCCUGCAGGAGCUGCUCCAUUUCGGGGUCCCCCCCCGGGGGGUCCUGGGGGGUCUCCAGGCCCUUCCCCCCCCGGCCCUGCUGGGCCUGGCCCGGAGCCCCCCCGGGAGCCGCCUCUGGGAUGCCCUCCUGGGGUCCCCCCACGUCCCCCCCCGGGUCAGGAAACGACUCCUCAAAAAGCUCAAGGGCUCGUGGCUGCUCCUGGCCCGGCACCGCAGCGGGAGCCGCGUCCUGACUCGGCCUGGGGGCCCCCUCCCCACCAGGGUCUCCAUCGCCUCAGAGCUGG